AGAGUUUGAUCCUGGCUCAGAUUGAACGCUGGCGGCAUGCCUUACACAUGCAAGUCGAACGGUAACGGGCCUUCGGGUGCCGACGAGUGGCGAACGGGUGAGUAAUGUAUCGGAACGUACCUUUCAGUGGGGGAUAACGUAGCGAAAGUUACGCUAAUACCGCAUAUUCUGUGAGCAGGAAAGCAGGGGAUCGCAAGACCUUGCGCUGAUUGAGCGGCCGAUAUCAGAUUAGCUAGUUGGUGAGGUAAAAGGCUCACCAAGGCGACGAUCUGUAGCGGGUCUGAGAGGACGAUCCGCCACACUGGAACUGAGACACGGUCCAGACUCCUACGGGAGGCAGCAGUGGGGAAUUUUGGACAAUGGGGCAACCCUGAUCCAGCCAUGCCGCGUGAGUGAAGAAGGCCUUCGGGUUGUAAAGCUCUUUCGGCCGGGAAGAAAUUGUAUGGGUUAAUACCCUGUGCGGAUGACGGUACCGGCAUAAGAAGCACCGGCUAACUACGUG
Molecule: ribosomal RNA, 502 nt
Filed under: uncultured bacterium
Lineage: Bacteria
Description: bacterial SSU rRNA
Rfam family: Bacterial small subunit ribosomal RNA
Source: RNAcentral